CCUACGGGUGGCUGCAGUAGGGAAUAUUGGACAAUGGGGGCAACCCUGAUCCAGCCAUGCCGCGUGAGUGAAGAAGGCCCUCGGGUUGUAAAGCUCUUUUGUCCGGAAAGAAAAGCAAUCGGUUAAUACCCGGUUGUUCUGACGGUACCGGAAGAAUAAGCACCGGCUAACUUCGUGCCAGCAGCCGCGGUAAUACGAAGGGUGCAAGCGUUACUCGGAAUUACUGGGCGUAAAGCGUGCGUAGGUGGUUCGUUAAGUCUGAUGUGAAAGCCCUG
RNAcentral lists this ribosomal RNA (275 nucleotides) under uncultured Thermomonas sp. Its description in RNAcentral is "partial 16S ribosomal RNA". It matches the Rfam family "Bacterial small subunit ribosomal RNA", at positions 338 to 605 of the family's 1533-position model. Lineage: Bacteria; Pseudomonadati; Pseudomonadota; Gammaproteobacteria; Lysobacterales; Lysobacteraceae. The record is from RNAcentral.